Molecule: ribosomal RNA, 467 nt
Filed under: uncultured Pseudomonadota bacterium
Lineage: Bacteria; Pseudomonadati; Pseudomonadota
Description: bacterial SSU rRNA
Rfam family: Bacterial small subunit ribosomal RNA
Source: RNAcentral
UGGGGAAUAUUGGACAAUGGGCGAAAGCCUGAUCCAGCAAUGCCGCGUGAGUGAUGAAGGCCUUAGGGUUGUAAAGCUCUUUUACCCGGGAUGAUAAUGACAGUACCGGGAGAAUAAGCUCCGGCUAACUCCGUGCCAGCAGCCGCGGUAAUACGGAGGGAGCUAGCGUUAUUCGGAAUUACUGGGCGUAAAGCGCACGUAGGCGGCUUUGUAAGUUAGAGGUGAAAGCCUGGAGCUCAACUCCAGAAUUGCCUUUAAGACUGCAUCGCUUGAAUCCAGGAGAGGUGAGUGGAAUUCCGAGUGUAGAGGUGAAAUUCGUAGAUAUUCGGAAGAACACCAGUGGCGAAGGCGGCUCACUGGACUGGUAUUGACGCUGGAGGUGCGAAAGCGUGGGGAGCAAACAGGAUUAGAUACCCUGGUAGUCCACGCCGUAAACGAUGAUACUAGCUGUCGGGGCUCGUUAGAGC